Molecule: transfer RNA, 75 nt
Filed under: Parvibaculum sp.
Lineage: Bacteria; Pseudomonadati; Pseudomonadota; Alphaproteobacteria; Hyphomicrobiales; Parvibaculaceae
Description: tRNA-Thr
Rfam family: tRNA
About the family: Transfer RNA (tRNA) molecules are approximately 80 nucleotides in length.
Source: RNAcentral
GCCCAUGUAGCUCAGUGGUAGAGCACACCAUUGGUAAUGGUGAGGUCGAGUGUUCAAUCCACUCCGUGGGCACCA